UACGAAGGGGGCUAGCGUUGUUCGGAAUUACUGGGCGUAAAGGGCGCGUAGGCGGCGUGUCAAGUCAGGCGUGAAAGCCCCGGGCUCAACCUGGGAACCGCGCUUGAGACUGGCAUGCUCGAGUUCGGGAGAGGAUGGUGGAAUUCCCAGUGUAGAGGUGAAAUUCGUAGAUAUUCGCAAGAACACCAGUGGCGAAGGCGACCACCUGGACUGAUACUGACACUGAGGUGCGAAAGCGUGGGGAGCAAACAGG
RNAcentral lists this ribosomal RNA (253 nucleotides) under uncultured bacterium. RNAcentral describes it as "partial 16S ribosomal RNA". It matches the Rfam family "Bacterial small subunit ribosomal RNA", at positions 524 to 776 of the family's 1533-position model. The record is from RNAcentral.